UGGGGAAUCUUCCGCAAUGGACGAAAGUCUGACGGAGCAACGCCUCGUGAGUGAUGACGGUCUUCGGAUUGUAAAGCUCUGUUAAUCGGGACGAAUGGUUUGUGUGCAAAUAGUGCAUAGACAUGACGGUACCGGAAUAGAAAGCCACGGCUAACUACGUGCCAGCAGCCGCGGUAAUACGUAGGUGGCAAGCGUUGUCCGGAAUUAUUGGGCGUAAAGCGCGCGCAGGCGGACUAGCCAGUCAGUCUUAAAAGUUCGGGGCUUAACCCCGUGAUGGGAUUGAAACUACUAGUCUAGAGUAUCGGAGAGGAAAGUGGAAUUCCUAGUGUAGCGGUGAAAUGCGUAGAUAUUAGGAAGAACACCAGUGGCGAAGGCGACUUUCUGGACGAACACUGACGCUGAGGCGCGAAAGCCAGGGGAGCGAACGGG
RNAcentral lists this ribosomal RNA (429 nucleotides) under Verrucomicrobiota bacterium. RNAcentral's name for it is "Verrucomicrobia bacterium partial 16S ribosomal RNA". It matches the Rfam family "Bacterial small subunit ribosomal RNA", at positions 355 to 776 of the family's 1533-position model. Lineage: Bacteria; Pseudomonadati; Verrucomicrobiota. The record is from RNAcentral.